Molecule: transfer-messenger RNA, 353 nt
Filed under: Pseudomonadales
Lineage: Bacteria; Pseudomonadati; Pseudomonadota; Gammaproteobacteria
Also listed under: 1 other name
Description: UBA7239 sp002333095 Standard tmRNA
Rfam family: transfer-messenger RNA
About the family: Bacterial tmRNA, also known as 10Sa RNA or SsrA, is named for its dual tRNA and mRNA-like properties. Its role is to liberate the mRNA from a stalled ribosome.
Source: RNAcentral
GGGGGCGUUUUGGAUUCGACGCCGGUUACAAAGCUCCGGGUGCAUGCCGAGAUGGCAACCAAUCUCGUAAAUCAAAGUUGCAAACUCUUAGUUGCCAACGACGACAACUACGCUCUAGCUGCUUAAUCGCAGCUAGCGGUCGGUAACAAGGUGCCCGUACCGCGUUAUUGACUGUCAUUCAGAAUGGGAUCGUGGAGCGGCUCGCCUGGCGCCAAUCCCCUAAAACUCACAGGAUCGCUGUUCACGUCCUGCCCGCUGGGCUGUGAAUGGUUAAAUCAAUUAACGGACCUAAGCAUGUAGAUCUCGCAGUAGCGGACUGACGGACAGGGGUUCAACUCCCCUCGCCUCCACCA